AUUGAACGCUGGCGGCAGGCCUAACACAUGCAAGUCGAACGGUAACAGGAAGAAGCUUGCUUCUUUGCUGACGAGUGGCGGACGGGUGAGUAAUGUCUGGGAAACUGCCUGAUGGAGGGGGAUAACUACUGGAAACGGUAGCUAAUACCGCAUAACGUCGCAAGACCAAAGAGGGGGACCUUCGGGCCUCUUGCCAUCGGAUGUGCCCAGAUGGGAUUAGCUAGUAGGUGGGGUAACGGCUCACCUAGGCGACGAUCCCUAGUUGGUCUGAGAGGAUGACCAGCCACACUGGAACUGAGACACGGUCCAGACUCCUACGGGAGGCAGCAGUGGGGAAUAUUGCACAAUGGGCGCAAGCCUGAUGCAGCCAUGCCGCGUGUAUGAAGAAGGCCUUCGGGUUGUAAAGUACUUUCAGCGGGGAGGAAGGGAGUAAAGUUAAUACCUUUGCUCAUUGACGUUACCCGCAGAAGAAGCACCGGCUAACUCCGUG
RNAcentral lists this ribosomal RNA (490 nucleotides) under uncultured bacterium. Its description in RNAcentral is "partial 16S ribosomal RNA". It matches the Rfam family "Bacterial small subunit ribosomal RNA", at positions 30 to 507 of the family's 1533-position model. The record is from RNAcentral.